UUAUAAGAGACAGCAGCCGCCGCGGUAAUACAGAGGGUGCGAGCGUUAAUCGGAUUUACUGGGCGUAAAGCGUGCGUAGGCGGCUUCUUAAGUCGGAUGUGAAAUCCCUGAGCUUAACUUAGGAAUUGCAUUCGAUACUGGGAAGCUAGAGUAUGGGAGAGGAUGGUAGAAUUCCAGGUGUAGCGGUGAAAUGCGUAGAGAUCUGGAGGAAUACCGAUGGCGAAGGCAGCCAUCUGGCCUAAUACUGACGCUGAGGUACGAAAGCAUGGGGAGCAAACAGGAUUAGAUACCCCGGUAGUCCCUGUCUCUUAUAC
Molecule: ribosomal RNA, 314 nt
Filed under: uncultured bacterium
Lineage: Bacteria
Description: partial 16S ribosomal RNA
Rfam family: Bacterial small subunit ribosomal RNA
Source: RNAcentral